Non-coding RNA from Eublepharis macularius, 374 nucleotides. Lineage: Eukaryota; Metazoa; Chordata; Lepidosauria; Squamata; Eublepharidae. The record is from the annotation of a RefSeq genome assembly.
UCCAAAGCAAAGAUCUUGUUGGAGUCAUGUGGUUUUUCAGUUGCGUGUACUUUGUUCUAUGGCUCUCAUUAUUAGGUUCUACUGAAGCAAUCACUUUGACUCAGCCUGCAGCAGUUACAGCUGUGCCUGGAGGCUCAGUGACGCUGGAAUGUGUGGUAUCUGGAUACAAUAUCAAUGAUCACCACAUGAGCUGGGUCCGUGAAGGCAAGGAGAAAGGACUAGUUUUCAUUGCAGCCUUCAGGUCAGGAUACGACACAUACACGGCCAACCAAUUUAAGGGCCGAGUGUCCCCUUCUACCAGCGGCUCCACGGCAAAGCUAAAGAUAGAUGCUCUGACAGUUGAAGACACUUCCAUCUACUAUUGUGCUAGAUAA